CCCCCAGCGGGGGAGACGGGGGGCGCCCGCCUGUCUGGGCUUCCCCCCGCCCGGGGAUGCUGGCGAGCCCCGGAGCCUGUAGCGGGCAGCAGCGCCCGGAGCGAGGGGAGUGUCUGUCCGACAGCCGCCGCAGGCGCCUCCGACUUACCUUCAUCGUCGAGCUCUAGUUUCUCCAGCAUCCCUUCGGAGGCGGCCGGGGGCUGAGGAGAAGCCGGAGCCGCCGCCGCCGCAGCUGCUGCUGCCGCCGCCGCCUGCGGAAGGGGGAAAGCGGAGAAGGGGAUCAGCAUCCAGGCGCGGACCUACCGGACCCGCGGCGGCAUCGGACGCAGCCCGGCGUGGCGGCGGCUGAGCCGGUCUGAGGGAGGGGAGUGGCCGCUAGCCCGACGCCGUGGAGGGAGGGGGUUGCCCCUCCGCCUGACGGGGCUCGAUUUGUGCUGUCUCCUACACGCACUGGGGGAGGGGAGGAGGCGGGACCUCGCCCAGCCCAUUAACCCUUUGCACCCAGGCCGGAUAGGGCUCUGUCCGUUCGAGAGGCCGCAGGCCUGUGACGUGGGAGGUCUCGCGUCUCCUCAGCAUCCUUCUAGUCAGCGAGCCGCCGUUUACGUCCGUUAGAUUCCACGGGCAGCCAAAAGAACCUUUGGGGGAGAAAGUUCCACCCCGUUCCCCUCGCGGUCCCCCUGUCUGGGGCCUGACUGGAAUUUGGAACAUUCCGUUUUGCUGCAAUCAAGCCGGCUGCUCCGCACAGGAGGGAAGACAGAGAGGCUGUGGUAAAUGAAGCUGUAAGGAGUGUGGGGACUGGAUUUUGGAGAGAUGGAACAAGUGGAGUAGUCUUCAUGCUCCUAGCAAGUUACUGUACCGCCGGGCAAAGUUUGGACACCCUGCUCUAAAGUUACAGCUCAGAAGUUAUGAGCGUCUUAAAAACAGGUUUACAACCAGAAUGUUGACACAGAUAGAACCUUAAUACAGCUCUGCUAGCAAUCUUUAUGGAGGCAAAGUAAAACAAACAACUUACGAGAACAGAAACUGACCAUCCAAAGGGUAUAGUAUGUUGGAUGUCAGGGGCUAUACUGGAAUUUUUGUGACCAAGAGGUUCUUCUAGUUGUUAUUGCAGAAGCUGUACCCUAGAAGAAACAUCUGCUGUGUCAAGCGCCAACUGAAUCACUGAUGUGGCUGCUAGAGGACCUUCUGCCAGGAAAGCCUUAAACUCUCCCUUUGCAUCUUCAGGGAGUUUUUCAGUGAAUUUAGACGUGAUCCAGUUUACAAAGUCAUUCUUUUAUAAAUGAACCUGCUGAUUAGCUAUGCAUGUCUGGAGAGACAAGGCAGAAUAAAUCUUU
Molecule: long non-coding RNA, 1334 nt
Organism: Mauremys mutica (yellowpond turtle)
Lineage: Eukaryota; Metazoa; Chordata; Testudines; Geoemydidae
Exons: 4
Source: RefSeq, a predicted model, not a curated record